This is a long non-coding RNA of Mustela erminea (ermine), 1033 nucleotides long. RefSeq lists it as uncharacterized. The record is from RefSeq and is a predicted model, not a curated record. NCBI's taxonomy places the organism in Eukaryota, Metazoa, Chordata, Mammalia, Carnivora, Mustelidae. The transcript is spliced from 5 exons.
UGUCCCCUGCUCACAGUCUGAUCCUGACCCUUUUGCUCCCCACCAUCUGGCUCUCCUCAGUCCCACCUGCUCCUGCUCCCUGAACCCCCGACUCAUGGCCAAGGUCCCUUCUUGAACGCUGACCUGGUCCAGCCUUCCUAGCCCCAAAUCCCUUCCAUCUUUGUGACUCCACCUUCUCCCUCACCCCCAAAAAAAUUCCAGCCCUAUCUGACCCAGAGCCCAGGAUCUCUCUCUUCCAGGCCCCCAGAUAAGCUGUCUUCAUUUUUGUCUCCACAACAAAGGACAUUAAAACCCAGCCACAAAGUCUCAGGACAGUGGGGGUUUGCCUCCCCUACAACCAGCAGAUUCUUCAUUUAGUGAGAAUGGCAGCCCGCUCCCCGGCAGGUGUGUUCAGGCUUUGUCUGCGUUGAAAUCACUUGCCACUGUCAGUCCCCAUCAGGGAUGAAAACCUCCUGGGCUCAGGGAGAUGAAUGCCCCCAGUGCAGAAAGAUGCUGUUCUGUGAACACAAAUGAUGUUGCUGCCGGCACCCUGGAUCCAGCCCAGCCUGACGGCCUCUUGAGGAAUUAAACAGCAGCAGCAAAGAAAGAACUGACCAGAAUGGGGAUAUUUGAGCACCUUUGAGCACCUGUGUCUUAAAGCCCCACUGCCCUAGAAAGUACCAGGCAAGCAGAUCUCCUGGGGAUAGACUUUGGGGGUAUUCAGGGUCACUUAAAAGACAUUCCAUCAAGAGCAAAGAGAAAAGACAUGGCAUCAAGGCCAGAAAGAAAAGACAUUCAUUCCAUCAAGAGCAAAGAGGUGAUGGAACAGUUGGCCUCAAGACUCUUCCAGACUCGCACAGCCUCUCCUCCCACUGCCAAGCUCCCCGUGUUGGCCGCAGUGUAGCUCGGACUGCCUGUGCUAUUUAUUUCCUAAUAAAAAGACAGCCUGGGUGGCCCAUGGGAGAUUAAGACAGAGAUUUACUAUGAGAUGAUUAAGCAUAAAACCACAGGUUAAGUCAGCAUCAGAUAGGAGGAGGAGGGGGAGGCAGAGGCA